RNAcentral lists this ribosomal RNA (478 nucleotides) under uncultured bacterium. Its description in RNAcentral is "bacterial SSU rRNA". It matches the Rfam family "Bacterial small subunit ribosomal RNA", at positions 30 to 507 of the family's 1533-position model. The record is from RNAcentral.
AUUGAACGCUGGCGGCAUGCCUUACACAUGCAAGUCGAACGGCAGCACGGGAGCAAUCCUGGUGGCGAGUGGCGAACGGGUGAGUAAUGCAUCGGAACGUGCCCAGUCGUGGGGGAUAACGCAGCGAAAGCUGUGCUAAUACCGCAUACGAUCUACGGAUGAAAGCGGGGGACCGUAAGGCCUCGCGCGAUUGGAGCGGCCGAUAUCAGAUUAGGUAGUUGGUGGGGUAAUGGCUCACCAAGGCGACGAUCCCUAGCUGGUUUGAGAGGAUGAUCAGCCACACUGGAACUGAGAUACGGGCCAGACUCCUACGGGAGGCAGCAGUAGGGAAUAUUGGGCAAUGGGCGCAAGCCUGACCCAGCCAUGCCGCGUGCAGGAAGAAGGCGUUAUGCGUUGUAAACUGCUUUUAUACAGGAAGAAACGACCCUUGCGAGGGGCAUUGACGGUACUGUAUGAAUAAGCACCGGCUAACUCCGUG